GAUGAACGCUGGCGGCGUGCCUAAUACAUGCAAGUCGAGCGAACGGACGAGAAGCUUGCUUCUCUGAUGUUAGCGGCGGACGGGUGAGUAACACGUGGAUAACCUACCUAUAAGACUGGGAUAACUUCGGGAAACCGGAGCUAAUACCGGAUAAUAUUUUGAACCGCAUGGUUCAAAAGUGAAAGACGGUCUUGCUGUCGGUGAUAGAUGGAUCCGCGCUGCAUUAGCUAGUUGGUGGGGUAACGGCUUACCAAGGCAACGACGGGUAGCCGGCCUGAGAGGGUGACCGGCCACAUGGGGACGGAGAUACGGCCCAGACUCCUACGGGAGGCAGCAGUGGGGAAUAUUGCACAAUGGGCGGAAGCCUGAGGCAGCAACGCCGCGUGCGGGAUGAAGGCCUGCGGGUUGUAAACCGCUUGCGCCUGUGAUGAAGCGUGAUUGACGGUAAUGGGUAAAGAAGCACCGGCUAACUACGUG
RNAcentral lists this ribosomal RNA (477 nucleotides) under uncultured bacterium. RNAcentral describes it as "partial 16S ribosomal RNA". It matches the Rfam family "Bacterial small subunit ribosomal RNA", at positions 28 to 507 of the family's 1533-position model. The record is from RNAcentral.